GAUGAACGCUGGCGGCGUGCCUAAUACAUGCAAGUCGAGCGAACAGGCGAGGAGCUUGCUCCUCUGACGUUAGCGGCGGACGGGUGAGUAACACGUGGAUAACCUACCUAUAAGACUGGGAUAACUUCGGGAAACCGGAGCUAAUACCGGAUAAUAUAUUGAACCGCAUGGUUCAAUAGUGAAAGACGGUUUUGCUGUCACUUAUAGAUGGAUCCGCGCCGCAUUAGCUAGUUGGUAAGGUAACGGCUUACCAAGGCAACGAUGCGUAGCCGACCUGAGAGGGUGAUCGGCCACACUGGAACUGAGACACGGUCCAGACUCCUACGGGAGGCAGCAGUAGGGAAUCUUCCGCAAUGGGCGAAAGCCUGACGGAGCAACGCCGCGUGAGUGAUGAAGGUCUUCGGAUCGUAAAACUCUGUUAUUAGGGAAGAACAAAUGUGUAAGUAACUAUGCACGUCUUGACGGUACCUAAUCAGAAAGCCACGGCUAACUACG
RNAcentral lists this ribosomal RNA (495 nucleotides) under uncultured bacterium. RNAcentral's name for it is "partial 16S ribosomal RNA". It matches the Rfam family "Bacterial small subunit ribosomal RNA", at positions 28 to 505 of the family's 1533-position model. The record is from RNAcentral.